UACGUAGGGUGCAAGCGUUAAUCGGAAUUACUGGGCGUAAAGCGUGCGCAGGCGGUUGUGCAAGACAGAUGUGAAAUCCCCGGGCUCAACCUGGGAAUUGCAUUUGUGACUGCACGGCUAGAGUGUGUCAGAGGGGGGUAGAAUUCCACGUGUAGCAGUGAAAUGCGUAGAUAUGUGGAGGAACACCGAUGGCGAAGGCAGCCCCCUGGGUCAAGACUGACGCUCAUGCACGAAAGCGUGGGGAGCAAACAGG
This 253-nucleotide ribosomal RNA is filed under the name uncultured bacterium. RNAcentral describes it as "partial 16S ribosomal RNA". It matches the Rfam family "Bacterial small subunit ribosomal RNA", at positions 524 to 776 of the family's 1533-position model. The record is from RNAcentral.